UACGUAGGGGCAAGCGUUGUCCGGAUUUAUUGGGCGUAAAGAGCGUGUAGGCGGUCUGGUAGGUCCGUUGUGAAACUCGAGGCUCAACCUCGAGACGCCGAUGGAAACCAUCAGACUAGAGUCCGGAAGAGGAGAGUGGAAUUCCUGGGUGUAGCGGUGAAAUGCGGCAGAUAAUCAGGAGGAACACCAAUGGGCGAAGGCAGCUCGCUGGAACGGUACUGACGCUGAGCGCGAAAGCGUGGGAGCGAACAGG
This 253-nucleotide ribosomal RNA is filed under the name uncultured bacterium. RNAcentral describes it as "partial 16S ribosomal RNA". It matches the Rfam family "Bacterial small subunit ribosomal RNA", at positions 524 to 776 of the family's 1533-position model. The record is from RNAcentral.